UAAAAUGAGAAAAGAAACAGGAAAAAAAAUAAAUUAGUACCGGUUGGGAAUACCAACCGGUACUAAUUUGGACGUGGCCAUGCGCGACGUGUCAAGCAAAUUAGUACCGAUUGGUCUCCCCAACCGGUACUAAAAGUUCUUCUUUAGUACCUAGGUACUAAAUAGCAAUACCGGUUGCGUACUAAAGGAGGAUUACCUAUCGGUAGGUUUUACCUAGCAGUGAUAUUAA
RNAcentral lists this long non-coding RNA (229 nucleotides) under Setaria italica (foxtail millet). Its description in RNAcentral is "long non-coding RNA (SITA_LNC003074)". The record is from RNAcentral. Lineage: Eukaryota; Viridiplantae; Streptophyta; Magnoliopsida; Poales; Poaceae.